Molecule: long non-coding RNA, 369 nt
Organism: Cavia porcellus (domestic guinea pig)
Lineage: Eukaryota; Metazoa; Chordata; Mammalia; Rodentia; Caviidae
Exons: 3
Source: RefSeq, a predicted model, not a curated record
UAAGGGAAAAGCACAUAAACUAUGACCCUGUCAUUUGGGGUCCAUGUGACAUGGCCACCUGGUGUCCUCUCCUAUGGCCCUCUUUGAAGAUAAAGGCACAAAAUGAAGAUUAACGCAGGCUCAGUCCUUGGAUCCUGUGCCUAUGUGGUUAGGAAAGGGGCCAAAGAAUGAGAGGCAAGCGUGAAGCGAGUGAGGCGAGUGUGCACCCACAAGCAAAGAACCUCCAGGGUCCAUGCGAAAAUGUCCUUUAAACUAAGGGAAGCUCACACUGGCUCUGAGUUUGUGUGCCUGUGCUUACAAGUGUAUAUAUCAGCAGCUGCAUUUGGAAUGAAGACAGGAAACACAAAAAAGAAAGCCCUGGAGACAAAA